GGGGGGGAGAAAGGCUUUUCUGUUUUGGUGCUUUCUCAUAAAAGCCUGACACAUUUGCCUUCCCUUUCAGGGAAUUGAUUUGAGCUUGUUUAAAAAUGAAGCUUGCAGCACGGCGUAGCGGCUUCAUGGGGCUGUAUAAAAACUGAUCUGAUAAUAUUUUAUUCAUCCUUCUCUCCCCUUCCUUUUGCUCUGGAAAUUCCAGGAGCUACUGGCAGUCUCUGCAGGCAGCUCGGGGAGAGGAGCAAGAAUCCCCUUUUAGAAAGCAAUUACACAUGCAAGUCACAUCAGUUCAAGCCAAACUGUGAGCCAGAUCCUGUAGCUGAUAAAACAGCUCUGCAAUACUCCAGGAGGGAGAAAGAUAAUACCGGAUUUCUAGGCCAGCUCCUUGGCGGAUGUGAAUGGGUAUCAGAAUGGUGAAGAAAGUGCAGUGGCUCCAAUUUUCACCAGAGGAGGAUCCGGCCUGUUUAAUCUGUUUGGAACUACCACUCAACUUCAAAGUGUAAUGGAACCACACAGCUGUGUUUGCAGAGUCCCUGAGCUGGGUCCAGGCACUCUUUGGGGCACGGAUUACAGAGCUGCUGGAGGACUAGCUGGCUUCAGCACAGAGCCUGAGGGGUGAGAAAUCUCUGUAGUGCAUUGUGGGAGCUGGAGCAAAUUGUGACCCAAAGGGUUUCUGCUGUGCAAACCCCAAUGCGUUUUCACUCUUCCUCCCAAUCCCCCUCUCCUUUCCUGUAUAUUCCCACAGUGCAAUCCAUACUCCAUCAGAUCUAAUCUGUAUCCCGUGUGUCCCGGAGGGGUUCUCUGCUCUGCCAUGAUGGCUCAUGUAAGUAUCCCUGUCGCUGGGCUCCACAUCCUGGUGUGGUCUCCCUAUGGCCACCUCUAUUGUGGCUAUGCAGGGAAGAACCCACCCCCGGCUGCCUUAGAUCGCCUUUGACUGUGGCUCUGGGUGCGGUGAGGGAGAAGCACAAAUCGGUGGGGAAG
Molecule: long non-coding RNA, 981 nt
Filed under: Chrysemys picta bellii (western painted turtle)
Lineage: Eukaryota; Metazoa; Chordata; Testudines; Emydidae
Description: lncRNA (ENSCPBG00000016073.1)
Source: RNAcentral